This 72-nucleotide transfer RNA is filed under the name Methylobacterium gossipiicola. RNAcentral describes it as "tRNA_Val_GAC". It matches the Rfam family "tRNA". Rfam says of the family: Transfer RNA (tRNA) molecules are approximately 80 nucleotides in length. Their secondary structure includes four short double-helical elements and three loops (D, anti-codon, and T loops). RNAcentral also lists the same sequence under 1 other name. The record is from RNAcentral. Lineage: Bacteria; Pseudomonadati; Pseudomonadota; Alphaproteobacteria; Hyphomicrobiales; Methylobacteriaceae.
GGGCGCUUAGCUCAGCGGUAGAGCACUACCUUGACAUGGUAGGGGUCACAGGUUCGAACCCUGUAGUGCCCA